UGGGUAACCUGCCCAUCAGAGGGGGAUAACAUUCGGGAAACGGAUGCUAAAACCGCAUAGGUCUUCGAACCGCAUGGUUUGAAGAGGAAAAGAGGCGCAAGCUUCUGCUGAUGGAUGGACCCGCGGUGCAUUAGCUAGUUGGUGAGGUAACGGCUCACCGAGGCCGUGAUGCAUAGCCGACCUGAGAGGGUGAUCGGCCACAUUGGGACUGAGACACGGCCCAA
Molecule: ribosomal RNA, 224 nt
Filed under: uncultured bacterium
Lineage: Bacteria
Description: partial 16S ribosomal RNA
Rfam family: Bacterial small subunit ribosomal RNA
Source: RNAcentral